GAUGAACGCUGGCGGCGUGCCUAAUACAUGCAAGUCGAGCGAACAGACGAGGAGCUUGCUCCUCUGACGUUAGCGGCGGACGGGGGAGUAACACGUGGAUAACCUACCUAUAAGACUGGGAUAACUUCGGGAAACCGGAGCUAAUACCGGAUAAUAUAUUGAACCGCAUGGUUCAAUAGUGAAAGACGGUUUUGCUGUCACUUAUAGAUGGAUCCGCGCCGCAUUAGCUAGUUGGUAAGGUAACGGCUUACCAAGGCGACGAUGCGUAGCCGACCUGAGAGGGUGAUAGGCCACACUGGAACUGAGACACGGUCCAGACUCCUACGGGAGGCAGCAGUAGGGAAUCUUCCGCAAUGGGCGAAAGCCUGACGGAGCAACGCCGCGUGAGUGAUGAAGGUCUUCGGAUCGUAAAACUCUGUUAUUAGGGAAGAACAAAUGUGUAAGUAACUAUGCACGUCUUGACGGUACCUAAUCAGAAAGCCACGGCUAACUACGUG
RNAcentral lists this ribosomal RNA (497 nucleotides) under uncultured bacterium. RNAcentral's name for it is "partial 16S ribosomal RNA". It matches the Rfam family "Bacterial small subunit ribosomal RNA", at positions 28 to 507 of the family's 1533-position model. The record is from RNAcentral.